GACAGAGGGUGCAAACGUUGUUCGGAAUUACUGGGCGUAAAGCGCGUGUAGGCAGCUCGGAAAGUCGGGUGUGAAAGCCCUGGGCUUAACCUAGGAAGUGCACUCGAAACUUCCGAGCUUGAGUUCUGGAGAGGAAGGCGGAAUUCUCGGUGUAGCGGUGAAAUGCGUAGAUAUCAGGAGGAACACCGGUGGCGAAGGCGGCUUUCUGGACAGAAACUGACGCUGAGGCGCGAAAGCUAGGGGAGCAAACAGG
RNAcentral lists this ribosomal RNA (253 nucleotides) under uncultured bacterium. RNAcentral describes it as "partial 16S ribosomal RNA". It matches the Rfam family "Bacterial small subunit ribosomal RNA", at positions 524 to 776 of the family's 1533-position model. The record is from RNAcentral.